AAAUAUAAAUUAUUUAAAAGAAACUCGCGAUAAUUUAUUACAAUAUAGCCUUCGCCAGCAACUGAGAGUCUCACCCAAAAGUAAUAAUGCAUCGUAAUCAAUUUGUUGAAAUUUGUUAAUCAUUGAACGCAACACUAAAAAUGAAAACAUGUAAAAUAUUUCGUUAGAGUUUGAACGCGCAUGAAUCAAAUAUCAAAGACUUUGUACAUGUCACCUGUCCAGAAUCCUGCCGUUUAAGCCAAGUACAUUAUACGGCGGCAAACAACGAUAAACCACAAUAUACGAUUUACGUUACCGAGUUCACAUCUUUUGCUGCGUCCAAGAGAUCACUAAGAGCAUCCGCUGAGGACAUGCGGGCAGCUGCACAACAAACCUUCGGAGGAAAUACACCUGCUCAAACCAACGAUCGAGCGGGGAUAGUGAACAACGCCCAGCCCUUCUCCUUCACCGGAGCCGUGGGCACGGACAGCAAUGUGUGAUGCGGAAGGAAGGUGAUCAGGAUAUCGGGGAAUCGGAGAGCUGGGUGUGCCGUGAGAAAACAAGACUCAAAACGCAACAUUUGAAGGGCAAACCUAACCAAGAGAACAUCGGCAGGCAAUUUACAUAAUCAUGUGCAAUUUCUAAUUGUUCAAAUACCAACGCAAAUGGAUAACUAAAGUUUUUUAAUCCGAUUAGCUCUGAUCUCUUUCUAGAGCAAUCCAAAUAACACGAUCAGAAGUCCCCUAAAAAAAUCAUUAAAUUAAAAACCAUUUUUGUAUUAAAUGUAUGUAAAUGUAUAUUGGUUUUAUAAGCGUUUUGCGUUUUCUGUAUCCUAUUAAUUGUGUUGCCUGUGUCCCAUCAUUCCAAAAUAUUUGGUUUCAACUAAGUAGAAAUUGCAAAUAAAUUAUUGAACGACAUCACUAGCGAGGUGAAAAAAU
This 917-nucleotide small RNA is filed under the name Drosophila yakuba. RNAcentral describes it as "GE19810". Lineage: Eukaryota; Metazoa; Arthropoda; Insecta; Diptera; Drosophilidae. The record is from RNAcentral.